CCAGGGCACUUGACAGCUGAGUGGAGGAGAAAGCAUGCGCAGUGGGAAGUUCUCUGCCCACGACGGGAAGUUCUCUGGGCUAGUGACCUCUUAGGCUCCUUCCUGGCCUGGCCUGGCCUCUCUGAGGCCAUCUGAGCACCCACAGUGCCUGCACAGAGCCCGGCAACCAGCAGGCCUAUGAUAAAUGCUCCCAAGCCCAUGAAUGAAUGGGACAAACCUUAGCUUCUCCACUGGACCGUUUCAUCUCUGAGUUUGUCCUAAUGUUUACCUAGGAGGACCCAGACCAUCAACGGGCAACCGGCCCAGGAGAAAAUGGUUCGAAAUUAACAAACUUUCCCCAAGCUCUCUUCCCCCCUCCCCCUCCCACCUCCGUUCUUCCAGCACCGCCCCCCUGCCCCCCACCACGCACCGCUCCACACACAAAGAAACAAAAGCAAAGGCUGCUGGGGCCACAAAGGAUCUCAGAGCAUCCAGUCCAGCCCCCUGAGAGGGGUUGCAUGGGAAGUCCGCCAUCUGGGAACUAUUUCCAAGUCCAGAGAAGAGCCAAGUCCCAACACCUGGCCUGAGAUGAACCCAAAAGGGAAGACGAGGAGGGGACUUGAACGGACAGCACGAAGUCACCAGAGUCUACCAUGAACCCACACUAGGCCAGUCGGUGGGGAAAACUGGAGACCCACGUGGCACCAUUUUCAUGGACCUUGCCCUCCGUGCAGGAGACAGUCUCCUGGCUGGUGGCCUGGCAGGAAGACGCCAGCAUGGGCCACAAGGUGACCUCUGGAGCGACACAGAGGUCACACGGUCUGUGAAGAACCUGUUACCAGCAGGGAAGAUCCGCAGACCUAUCAAUGCCUUUGCUGUAGCUUCUGCCUGAGUGCAGCCCCCUGGAAUAAACCACCCCCCACCCCGGUCUUAGGUUUCUGUCUGCGAAAUGGGAAGGUUGGAAGGACUAGCAAAAAAAUAAAAUAAAAUAAAACCCCUACUCCCUACCUCCAUUUUGCAGAAAUAGAGCCCCGGAAGGUUAGGGGAUUUGCCUGAGGGUGCAGAUUAUUUAGCAGCUGACCGGGAAAGAAUAAUAUUAAUAAAGGGAACUUCCCGGACUCCAGCAGGGGCACUUUACCCACACAUUGGCCUUCUCUAAGUCAGGCUUCAUUUCCUCACCCCUCCGGCUGGUUGCAGGCCACCUGCC
Panthera uncia (snow leopard) is the source of this 1186-nucleotide long non-coding RNA. RefSeq lists it as uncharacterized. The record is from RefSeq and is a predicted model, not a curated record. Lineage: Eukaryota; Metazoa; Chordata; Mammalia; Carnivora; Felidae. The transcript has 4 exons.